This 252-nucleotide ribosomal RNA is filed under the name uncultured bacterium. RNAcentral describes it as "partial 16S ribosomal RNA". It matches the Rfam family "Bacterial small subunit ribosomal RNA", at positions 524 to 776 of the family's 1533-position model. The record is from RNAcentral.
UACGUAGGGUGCAAGCGUUAAUCGGAAUUACUGGGCGUAAGCGUGCGCAGGCGGUUUGUAAGUUUGUCGUGAAAGCCCCGGGCUCAACCUGGGAAUUGCGAUGAGGACUGCAAGGCUUGAAUCUGGCAGAGGGGGGUAGAAUUCCACGUGUAGCAGGUGAAAUGCGUAGAGAUGAUGGAGGAACACCGAUGGCGAAGGCAGCCCCCUGGGCAAGAUUGACGCUCAUGCACGAAAGCGUGGGGAGCAAACAGG